Molecule: long non-coding RNA, 1921 nt
Organism: Rosa rugosa (rugosa rose)
Lineage: Eukaryota; Viridiplantae; Streptophyta; Magnoliopsida; Rosales; Rosaceae
Exons: 3
Source: RefSeq, a predicted model, not a curated record
CAUAUCAUAGGGUUGAAUUAAUUUGUGGGUUGUCAUUUUGUGAUUGCUUCAUGCCGUGCAUUGAGUUCAGUUCAGGAGUUUCCUAAUAAGCAAAUUACUCAGAUAGAGAGCUCCAAUCUCAGCCUCUUUUACUUAUUCAGGACUAUUGACUUUUGAGUGAGCUCUCUCGGUAGGUGCAUAUCUUCUCCUUGGCCCUUGCAAGAAUAAAAACAAAAGGCUUUUACUUUCUCUGUGAGUAAAUUUCAGAAUUUUGGGGGUACAAUUCUGAGUUUUAUUUAAAGCUUUCUGUGUAGGUGAGAGAUGAGUAUCUAUGGAAAACUUGCAAAGAGGGCUGUGGAGACUGAUAUGCCCGUCAUGGUUCAGGUAUUGAGUCCAAAACUCCCACUGGGUUUUUGUUAAAGUUUCUGAAUUUAAUAUGUUUUGAGAUUCAAUUGUGGUUUGAGUUUUAAUAAGUUUGCCAAGGAUAAUGGUUCAAUCAUAGUUUUUACGAUUCUUCAUAUGCCAUAUAUAAGUCAGCUGAUAAUCCAUGCUCAGGAAUAAAUAAAUAAAUAAAACGUUAUGUUAUGUUAUGUCAUAUGGUUCGAGGAUAUGGCGUGCAGGACAACACAAUGUGAUUGAGGUGUUUUGUUCUUAUUUUGACACUCUCUCUGCACAAACUGGUAUGCUGGAAAUUCCAUUGUGAAUUUGCUGGAGCUACAGAUGCAGGUCUGCAAUCAUAAUUUGUUACUGCAACGCUCUUGGUUCUUUUUUUUUCUGAAAACUUUAUCUUUACCGUUCUUGAUAAUAAAUUAGUUAAAAGAUAGUGUUUUACAGAGAGUUGUACAUUUUGAUGUGCUUUGGCCUAUCAUCUCUUCUUUUUUGAAAGCUCAUUUCCAAUGUUUUAUUUAUGACUAUCCAAUAUCUAACAAUUUUGCUUCUGUAUGGACAUUCAAGGAUGCAAUUGAGACCUCUUAUGAUUAUGAUGCUCCUCUUGAGGAGUAUGGACAUCUGUGUCAAAUAAAAUGGGGGCAUUUAAAAGAGCUUCAUAAGGUUUUGGAAUACAUGGAAUAUACUCUUAUCUAUGGCAACAUUACCACCACAGAAUUGGAUAACCCUGUCUCGAUAAGUAGAUAAAUCGUAAUCACCAAAAUUCUAAACUAACACAAUUUAACUAUUGUUGUUACCUUUUUUUUUUCUUCAGAUGACUGUGUUUGCAACAAAUGAUUCAAUUAAGUAGCUGCUUUUGGGGGAAUGCAAAUAACAAUCAGAUGCUACAAUCACUUUUCAAGGAAACACACAUUUUUGCUUAGUCUGUGCUUUUAAGUUUUGUCAUUCAUUUAUGCAAACUGAUUCAAUAUAUGUCAAAACAUGCAUAGCAGGUGUUCAAACAUUUGCUCACCUUCUUAUCUCCUAGAGAGCUUAAAUAGAUUAGUUAGUUAAGAAGCCACUGGGUACAUAAUACAUUUUCCACAAUUUUUUUUCACUUUUGAUCAAUGAUGAUUUUGCAUUUUGUCUCAAAUUUCAUUGUAUUCCUAUAGGAUAAACGAACACCUUCAUUUUUUGUAAGUUCAAGGUUACAGCCAUGUGCAAUACAUAUUUGUUGGAAGACCCUCUCAUCACAGACCCGCUCAUUCUAUUUAGGGGAGUUCUUAAGCCACUUCAUUUAAUGGAUGCAGAUCAUCUUUUGAAAAAAAAAAAAAAGAGUAAUAUCUCGACGAGGGUGUCUGCGCUUUUCUCCCCGUAUUAAGUAUUCCACUGUAGUUGCUUUUUAUAUUUACUUUACCCUCUAAUGAUGUAGAUUGUUGGAGUACAUUUUAUUAUUGCCAACAGACUCGGGCCUGUCUACAGACUAUGUUGUUUAGUUCGACGGAAAACUUCCAAAGUAUUUUUUCUGACUAUGUUUGUAAUGAGAUAAUUUGGAAUGCAAGUGUUACGUAUGAAA